This 257-nucleotide ribosomal RNA is filed under the name uncultured Sphingobacteriales bacterium. RNAcentral describes it as "partial 16S ribosomal RNA". It matches the Rfam family "Bacterial small subunit ribosomal RNA", at positions 1131 to 1382 of the family's 1533-position model. The record is from RNAcentral. Lineage: Bacteria; Pseudomonadati; Bacteroidota; Sphingobacteriia; Sphingobacteriales.
CUGGGACGUCUAAAGGAACUGCCUACGCAAGUAGUGAGGAAGGCGGGGAGUGACGUCAAAUACAGCACGGCCCGUUACCGUCCAGGGCGUACACACGUGCUACAAUGGCCGAUACAGAGGGCAGCUACCUGGUGACAGGAUGCAAAUCUCCAAAGUCGGUCUCAGUUCGGAUCGGAGUCUGCAACCCGACUCCGUGAAGUUGGAUUCGCUAGUAAUCGCGCAUCAGCCAUGGCGCGGUGAAUACGUUCCCGGGCCUU